This 1362-nucleotide ribosomal RNA is filed under the name Stomis pumicatus. RNAcentral describes it as "16S ribosomal RNA". The stretch from base 1075 to 1233 matches the Rfam family "Archaeal large subunit ribosomal RNA", at positions 2544 to 2703 of the family's 2987-position model. The record is from RNAcentral. Lineage: Eukaryota; Metazoa; Arthropoda; Insecta; Coleoptera; Carabidae.
AAUUAUAAAUUUAUUAUAAAAUAUUUAUUUAUUUAUUUUUAAUAAAAAUAAUUUUAUUUAUUUUAAUUUUUAGUAUAUUUUAUAGAAAAAAUUUUAUUAAUUAUAGUUUAAUUGUAUAGUAAUAGAUAAUUGAAAUAAUUAGUUAAUUAUUUAAAAGUAAAAUUUAAUUUUUGUACCUUGUGUAUCAGGGUUUAUUAAAUAAAAAUUAAUUAUUUUAAUUUUCUCGAUUUUAAGAGAGUUAAUAAGUUAUGUUUUUUAUUGUAAAAAAAAUAUUUAUAAUAACUUAUUAGUAAUGAAAUGUUAUUCGUUCUUAAAUAUAUCUAGUUUAUUUAGAAAUGAAUUUAAUUCAGAUAUUAUAAUUUUAAUAAUUUAAUUUUUUAAUUUAUUAAAUUUUAAUAUUAAUAAUUAAAGGGAUUAGCUUUUAAUUAAAUUUUUAUAAAUUAGAUAAAGUAUAUUAAAAAAUGUAAGUUUAGAAAUAUCUAUCAAUAGUAAUUUGUUAUAAUUAAUUUAAUUUUUGAUUAUUAUUUUAUAUAAUUUUAAUUUUUUUAUAAAUAAAUAAUUUUUAAUUCUUUAAAGUUAGAUAUAAUGAUAGAAUUAGUAUAUAUUUUUAUUUAUUUAAAUAAUAUUAUAUAAUAGAUUAUUUAAAGGAAUUCGGCAAAAAUUUUACUCGCCUGUUUAACAAAAACAUGUCUUUUUGAUUUAUAUAUAAAGUCUAGCCUGCCCACUGAAUUUUUAAAUGGCCGCAGUAUUUUGACUGUGCAAAGGUAGCAUAAUCAUUAGUUUUUUAAUUAAAAGCUUGUAUGAAAGGUUGGACGAAGUAAAUUCUGUCUCUAUUUAAUUUAAAUUAGAAUUUAAUUUUUAAGUUAAAAAGCUUAAAUUUUUAUAAAAGACGAGAAGACCCUAUAGAACUUUAUAAUUUAUUAAAUAUAAUUAAUUAAGAUUUAUUUAAGUUUUAUUUAUAUAAUUAUUUUAUUGGGGUAAUAGAAAGAUUAAAUUAAUUCUUUUUUAAUAUUAACAUUAAUUUAUGAUAUAAUUGAUCCAUUUUUAGUGAUUAUAAGAUUAAGUUACCUUAGGGAUAACAGCGUAAUUUUUUUAGAGAGUUCAUAUCGAUAAAAAAGUUUGCGACCUCGAUGUUGGAUUAAAAAUUAUUUUAGGUGUAGAAGCUUAAAUUUUUGGUCUGUUCGACCAUUAAAUUUUUACAUGAUCUGAGUUCAGACCGGUGUAAGCCAGGUCGGUUUCUAUCUUUAUUUAAUUAAAAUAUUUUAGUACGAAAGGACCAAAUAUUUAAUAUAUUUAUAUUUUAGUAUUUGAAUAUUAUUAUUAUUUUGGCAGAUUAGUGCAAUGAAUUUAGAAUUCAUUUAU